GUUUAGACUUUUUUUGCAGGUCCCGAUGGCGAUUGCGGUCAUCUCAACUCCAGCUUCUUUGGCGUCGGUGGAAUUCUGCACCAACAACACUCAAAUCAGAUUUUAUGUUCAACACAUGAACAAUCUGAUUUUUAGGAUAAGUAUCUCCUACUUUUUUUUUUCUUCCUCUCUUCCUUUCUAUUUUUCUUUCCCUUUUCCUUUCUAUUUUCACUUU
RNAcentral lists this long non-coding RNA (214 nucleotides) under Elaeis guineensis (African oil palm). RNAcentral describes it as "long non-coding RNA (EGUI_LNC045747)". The record is from RNAcentral. Lineage: Eukaryota; Viridiplantae; Streptophyta; Magnoliopsida; Arecales; Arecaceae.